This 492-nucleotide ribosomal RNA is filed under the name uncultured bacterium. RNAcentral describes it as "partial 16S ribosomal RNA". It matches the Rfam family "Bacterial small subunit ribosomal RNA", at positions 29 to 507 of the family's 1533-position model. The record is from RNAcentral.
AGUGAACGCUGGCGGUAGGCCUAACACAUGCAAGUCGAACGGCAGCACAGUAAGAGCUUGCUCUUACGGGUGGCGAGUGGCGGACGGGAGAGGAAUACAUCGGAAUCUACUUUUUCGUGGGGGUUAACGUAGGGAAACUUACGCUAAUACCGCAUACGACCUACGGGUGAAAGCAGGGGAUCUUCGGACCUUGCGCGAUUGAAUGAGCCGAUGUCGGAUUAGCUAGUUGGCGGGGUAAUGGCCCACCAAGGCGACGAUCCGUAGCUGGUCUGAGAGGAUGAUCGGCCGCACUAGAGCUGGGACACGGUCCAGACUCCUACGGUAGGCAGCAGUGGGCAAUAUGGGACAAUAGGCGCAAGCCUGGUCCAGCCAUACCGCGUGUGUGAAGAAGGCCUUCGGUUUGUAAAGCCCUUUUGUUGGGAAAGAAAAGCAGCAGGUUAAUACCCCGCUGUUCUGACGGUACCCAAUGAAUAAGCACCGGCUAACUUCGUG